RNAcentral lists this long non-coding RNA (2156 nucleotides) under Meleagris gallopavo (turkey). Its description in RNAcentral is "lncRNA (ENSMGAG00000021216.1)". The record is from RNAcentral. Lineage: Eukaryota; Metazoa; Chordata; Aves; Galliformes; Phasianidae.
AUGCGUUACUGUGAAUUAUUCCCAUUCUGGCAGCACGCAGAGCCCACGGGACGGCAACCGCGGGCCCCAGAGAAUGGGGGACAGCCCGGAGACGGAAGGUCGUGCCCCUCAGCUCUCAAACCCAGGUCUUUUUUUCUUCCUUGCAGUCCUUGUGACCCGGGAGGACGAGUUCAACAACCGCCUGAACGUCCGCGCCAGCUUCCGUGGCUGCACAGCCCUGCACUACGCCGUGCUGGCCGACGACUACCUGAGCGUCAGGAUGCUGCUGGAGGCAGGUGGCACCUCCCUGCAGAAGGCAAAACUCUCCAGAUUUCUCUCCUAGGCUUGAUCCCUACAGGUUGGCACUACCAAAACAUCAGCAAACAGCCAUCCAGCAAGAGAUGGGGCGCCUGGAAGGCUCCCUUCGGGGAGAUGUGCUCACCUCCCCAUGGCAGGCACAUUUGUCAGCAUGUGAAGAAUGAUGCUGUUGGCAGGAUGAAGGUUCUGGAGUCUGUACCACUUGUCAUUCAUGGGCACAGACCUGUUCCCAAAUCUUGGAUGCCCCAUCCAUCCCUGGAGGUGUUCAAGGCCAGGUUGGAUGGGGCCCUGGGCAGCCUGGGCUGCUAUGAAAUGUGGAGGUUGAUGGCCCUGCAUGUGGCAGGGGGGUUGGAGAUUCAUCAUCCUUGAAGUCCCUUCCAACCUGGGCCAUUCUGUGAUUCUGUGAUUCUGCGGCGGGUGCCAGUGAAAAGUCACCCAUCCAAGCCAUUGCACGUGUGCAGGUGUGCAGAAAUGAAGAUGCUGGAGCCUUGCAGCACGAAAGGACUCACACUGAGCAUCAACCAGCUCCAACUCCUCUCUAUUAAGAGAAAACGAGCACUGCCUGCAGAGCAACUCCCCGAUACAGUGACUCACCAUCCCUUAUGCUACGCUUCUUAUUUACACUCCCCAGCACUAAUGUUGUCAUACUUAACAGCUCACAAGGUACUAUCUCAUCUUCUAAAUAUACACCCCAUUGUACUGCCCAGACUCCCUUCGUUAUAUCAUGAGUUGACUGCAGGCAUCAAUCACGGAGCUGAUAAACAGAAAUGGCCCUAAUGUCAUUUCAUGGGCUGCAAAGAGUCAGAUCGCAGCUGUGCUGGAGCCAGAUGGAAGAGGGAGUGUGGUGUAGAGUGCUGCUCCGUUAAAUAUAUGUGACAUUUAAUUAUGGUUGCAAUAGGUUCUCUCUCAUUUAGGGUAACUGGAGACUGGAUUCUGCAAAUAAGAGGGGAAAAAAAUAGGUAGUGCAGAUAGUACACAAUCUGCUGCUUCCAGACCCAGCCCAGACAUCCACUGGUGCAUUCCGCAGCAUGCUCUGAUCCUGGAGGAUUUAUUGUCUCAAAAGCAGCACCAUGCAAACACAAGGAGCUGCAGGGGUUGGCCCCAAGUGGGGUGAGCUGCCCACUGCCAACAGAGAGUCGAGGAUGCUGUAGUUACCUCGGUUGUUGCAGUGCUGCAGAGGUUCAUCAGGACCGGAUCCUGCUGCUGAGUGUUGGGAUGGGAAAGCAGUGCUGCUGUCAGGGACAGGCAAUGUCUCAGCUGGAUGGAGGUGGGAUCUACAGCCAAGUGAAGGCUGCUCUGGUCAGUGGUGGGAGCUCUGGUCAUACAUCCUUGAGAACCCAACUGUCAGGACACCAGAAGGCAUCAUAGGUUGGGGUUCAACCACGCGUGUCUCAGAAGAGGUCAAAGACUCAAAGAUGUGUCUGCACUGAAGGCUUUGCAGAAAAGGAAAGGAAAGCAUGAAAAUAAACCAAAACCAAAACAAAAACAAAGAACAAAACAAAAACCCACAAAAACAGAGAGUGUUCUCUUGGCAUGUGGUCAUAGCCACCAUCUCCUGGGUCAAGCUGAGCAGGGUUUUCCAUGCUGGAGAAGCAAUGAUAUGGAGAGCAGGGCUUGGACAACAAGGGGUCUUAAAUUAAGAAGAAGCAGAUCAUGGGGCUUUGGCGAGGCAGAGCAGCCAAAGUAGAGCUUUGGGAAUGGUGCAGCAGGGUCAGGGGUUGGCUCAGGCAUGAUGUACCCUGAUUGCUGUUACGAUUCAGUGCAGGAUGAUCAGGCCUGGACACAUCUCCAAAUGGUGAGUGAAGAGGUUGCAAAGAAGGAAUGUGGGAUGAGAACUCAACUACUUUGUGGUCUGGCAC